GCUUUUAUGGUGUAAUAAACACACUAGAUUUUCGAUCUAGAGUUAGAGUUAAAAUCUCUUAAAAGUG
This 67-nucleotide transfer RNA is filed under the name Macoma balthica. RNAcentral describes it as "Limecola balthica tRNA-Glu". It matches the Rfam family "tRNA". From Rfam's summary of the family: Transfer RNA (tRNA) molecules are approximately 80 nucleotides in length. Their secondary structure includes four short double-helical elements and three loops (D, anti-codon, and T loops). The record is from RNAcentral. Lineage: Eukaryota; Metazoa; Mollusca; Bivalvia; Cardiida; Tellinidae.